UUUUCAGCCCAGUCAGUCACUCAGCCAGUUUCUGCCUAGUCAGUCAGUCAGUCAGUUAGUUUCAGCCCAGUCAGUCAGUCAGUCAGUUUCAGCCCAGUCAGUCAGUCAGUUUCAGCCCAGUCAGUCAGUCAGUUUCAGCCAAGUCACCCAGUCAGUCAGUCAGUUUCAGCCAAGUCAGUCAGUCAGUCAGUCAGUUUCAGCCCAGUCAGUCAGUCAGUUUCAGCCCAGUCAGUCAGUCAGUCAGUUUCAGCCCAGUAAGUCAGUCAGCCAGUUUCUGCCUAGUCAGUCAGUCAGUCCGUUAGUUUCAGCCCAGUCAGUCAGUCAGUCAGUCAGUUUCAGCCCAGUCAGUCAGUCAGUCAGUUUCUGCCCAGUCAGUCAGUCAGUCCGUUUGUUUCUGCCCAGUCAGUCAGUCCGUUAGUUUCAGCCCAGUCAGUCAGUCAGCCAGUUUCAGCCCAGUCAGUCAGUCAGUCAGUUUCAGCCCAGUCAGUCAGUCAGUUUCAGCCCAGUCAGUCAGUCAGUUUCAGCCCAGUCAGUCAGUCAGUCAGUUUCAGCCCAGUCAGUCAGUCAGCCAGUUUCUGCCUAGUCAGUCAGUCAGUCAGUUUCAGCCCAGUCAGUCAGUCAGUCAGUUUCAGCCCAGUCAGUCAGUCAGUCAGUUUCAGCCCAGUCAGUCAGUCAGCCAGUUUCUGCCCAGUCAGUCAGUCAGUUUCAGCCCAGUCAUCAGUCAGUCAGUCAGUUUCAGCCCAGUCAGUCAGUCAGUUUCAGCCAGUCAGUUUCAGCCCAGUCAGUCACCCAGUCAGUCAGUCAGUUUCAACCAGUCAGUCAGUCAGUAAGUUUCAGCCCAGUCAGUCAGUCAAUCCGUUUCAGCCCAGUCAGUCAGUCAAUCCGUUAGUUUCUGCCCAGUCAGUCAGUCAGUCCGUUAGUUUCAGCCCAGUCAGUCAGUCAGUCAGUUUCAGCCCAGUCAGUCAGUCAGUCAGUCAGUCAGUUUCAGCCCAGUCAGUCAGUCAGCCAGUUUCUGCCUAGUCAGUCAGUCAGUCAGUCAGUCAGUCAGUUUCAGCCCAGUCAGUCAGUCAGUCAGUUUCAGCCCAGUCAGUCAGUCAGUUUCAGCCCAGUCAGUCAGUCAGUCAGUCAGUCAGUUUCAGCCCAGUCAGUCAGUCAGUUUCAGCCCAGUCAGUCAGUCAGUUUCAGCCCAGUCAGUCAGUCAGUCAGUUUCAGCCCAGUCAGUCAGUCAGCCAGUUUCUGCCUAGUCAGUCAGUCAGUCAGUUUCAGCCCAGUCAGUCAGUCAGUCAGUUUUCAGCCCAGUCAGUCAGCCAGUUUCAGCCCAGUCAGUCAGUCAGUCAGUUUCAGCCCAGUCAGUCAGUCAGUCAGUUUCAGCCCAGUCAGUCAGUCAGUCAGUCAGUCAGCCAGUUUCUUCCCAGUCAGUCAGUCAGUUUCAGCCCAGUCAGUCAGUCAGUCAGUUUCAG
Oncorhynchus tshawytscha (Chinook salmon) is the source of this 1460-nucleotide long non-coding RNA. NCBI's taxonomy places the organism in Eukaryota, Metazoa, Chordata, Actinopteri, Salmoniformes, Salmonidae. The record is from Ensembl.